CAGCCGCCGCGGUAAUACGAAGGGUGCAAGCGUUAAUCGGAAUUACUGGGCGUAAAGCGUGCGUAGGCGGCUUCUUAAGUCGGAUGUGAAAUCCCUGAGCUUAACUUAGGAAUUGCAUUCGAUACUGGGAAGCUAGAGUAUGGGAGAGGAUGGUAGAAUUCCAGGUGUAGCGGUGAAAUGCGUAGAGAUCUGGAGGAAUACCGAUGGCGAAGGCAGCCAUCUGGCCUAAUACUGACGCUGAGGUACGAAAGCAUGGGGAGCAAACAGGAUUAGAUACCCCAGUAGUCCCUGUCUCUUAUAC
This 301-nucleotide ribosomal RNA is filed under the name uncultured bacterium. RNAcentral describes it as "partial 16S ribosomal RNA". It matches the Rfam family "Bacterial small subunit ribosomal RNA", at positions 509 to 807 of the family's 1533-position model. The record is from RNAcentral.